Molecule: ribosomal RNA, 464 nt
Filed under: Vreelandella stevensii
Lineage: Bacteria; Pseudomonadati; Pseudomonadota; Gammaproteobacteria; Oceanospirillales; Halomonadaceae
Description: partial 16S ribosomal RNA
Rfam family: Bacterial small subunit ribosomal RNA
Source: RNAcentral
CCUACGGGGGCUGCAGUGGGGAAUAUUGGACAAUGGGCGAAAGCCUGAUCCAGCCAUGCCGCGUGUGUGAAGAAGGCCUUCGGGUUGUAAAGCACUUUCAGUGGGGAAGAAAGCCUUGGGGCUAAUACCCUCGAGGAAGGACAUCACCCACAGAAGAAGCACCGGCUAACUCCGUGCCAGCAGCCGCGGUAAUACGGAGGGUGCGAGCGUUAAUCGGAAUUACUGGGCGUAAAGCGCGCGUAGGCGGUCUGAUAAGCCGGUUGUGAAAGCCCCGGGCUCAACCUGGGAACGGCAUCCGGAACUGUCAGGCUAGAGUGCAGGAGAGGAAGGUAGAAUUCCCGGUGUAGCGGUGAAAUGCGUAGAGAUCGGGAGGAAUACCAGUGGCGAAGGCGACCUUCUGGACUGACACUGACGCUGAGGUGCGAAAGCGUGGGUAGCAAACAGGAUUAGAUACCCCAGUAGUC